Molecule: ribosomal RNA, 224 nt
Filed under: uncultured bacterium
Lineage: Bacteria
Description: partial 16S ribosomal RNA
Rfam family: Bacterial small subunit ribosomal RNA
Source: RNAcentral
GGUUUAAUUCGAUGAUACGCGAGGAACCUUACCCGGGCUUGAAUUGCAGAGGAAGGAUUUGGAGACAAUGACGCCCUUCGGGGUCUCUGUGAAGGUGCUGCAUGGUUGUCGUCAGCUCGUGCCGUGAGGUGUCGGCUUAAGUGCCAUAACGAGCGCAACCCCUCUCCUUAGUUGCCAUCAGUUGAAGCUGGGCACUCUGGGGACACUGCCACCGUAAGGUGUGA